ACGGGUGAGUAACACGUGAGCAACCUACCCUUGACUCUGGGAUAACAGUUGGAAACAGCUGCUAAUACCGGAUAUGACCCUGGUGGACAUCCACUGGGGUGGAAAGCUCCGACGGUCAAGGAUGGGCUCGCGGCCUAUCAGCUUGUUGGUGAGGUAACGGCUCACCAAGGCGUCGACGGGUAGCCGGCCUGAGAGGGCGACCGGCCACACUGGGACUGAGAUACGGCCCAGACUCCUACGGGAGGCAGCAGUGGGGAAUAUUGCACAAUGGGCGAAAGCCUGAUGCAGCAACGCCGCGUGCGGGAUGACGGCCUUCGGGUUGUAAACCGCUUUCAGCAGGGACGAAGGGUUUCUGACGGUACCUGCAGAAGAAGCACCGGCUAACUACGUGCC
This 393-nucleotide ribosomal RNA is filed under the name uncultured bacterium. RNAcentral's name for it is "bacterial SSU rRNA". It matches the Rfam family "Bacterial small subunit ribosomal RNA", at positions 102 to 509 of the family's 1533-position model. The record is from RNAcentral.